This 195-nucleotide ribosomal RNA is filed under the name Triticum aestivum (bread wheat). Its description in RNAcentral is "partial small subunit ribosomal RNA". Lineage: Eukaryota; Viridiplantae; Streptophyta; Magnoliopsida; Poales; Poaceae. The record is from RNAcentral.
AUGCUUUCAUUAAGCACAGGAAUAUCAUGGAUGGGAUCCUCACUCCAUGAGGUGCUACACCACACUCAUCAAAAGAAAAAGAUUGGUGUGGUACUUAAGCUAGAUGUUGAAAAAGCCUAUGACAAGAUAAACUGGGAUUUCCUCCUCGAUGCCAUAGUAAUCGAGGGUUUGGGACUACUUGGUGUGGCUGGGUGA